GGAUCGAUGGCCGAGCGGUCUAAGGCGCUAGACUCAAGUAUUAGUACAACGUACAAGCUUCCUCGAUUCUCGAGGUGCAUUCUAGUAUCGAAAGAUGCGUGGGUUCGAGUCCCACUCGAUUCA
Molecule: transfer RNA, 123 nt
Filed under: Leucosporidium creatinivorum
Lineage: Eukaryota; Fungi; Basidiomycota; Microbotryomycetes; Leucosporidiales; Leucosporidiaceae
Description: Leucosporidiella creatinivora tRNA
Rfam family: tRNA
About the family: Transfer RNA (tRNA) molecules are approximately 80 nucleotides in length. Their secondary structure includes four short double-helical elements and three loops (D, anti-codon, and T loops).
Source: Rfam by way of RNAcentral